This 279-nucleotide ribosomal RNA is filed under the name uncultured bacterium. RNAcentral describes it as "partial 16S ribosomal RNA". It matches the Rfam family "Bacterial small subunit ribosomal RNA", at positions 506 to 784 of the family's 1533-position model. The record is from RNAcentral.
UGCCAGCAGCCGCGGUAAGACGUAGGAUGCAAGCGUUGUUCGGAAUUACUGGGCGUAAAGCGCACGUAGGCGGACUUUUAAGUCAGAUGUGAAAUCCCGGGGCUCAACCUCGGAACUGCAUUUGAAACUGGAAGUCUGGAGUUCAGGAGAGGUUAGCGGAAUACCGAGUGUAGAGGUGAAAUUCGUAGAUAUGUGGAGGAAUACCGGUGGCGAAGGCGACUAACUGGACUGAUACUGACGCUGAGGUGCGAAAGUGUGGGGAGCAAACAGGAUUAGAUA